This 6791-nucleotide long non-coding RNA is filed under the name Sus scrofa (pig). RNAcentral describes it as "lncRNA (ENSSSCG00000059047.1)". The record is from RNAcentral. Lineage: Eukaryota; Metazoa; Chordata; Mammalia; Artiodactyla; Suidae.
AUUAGUUAUGAGAGAUAACAUUGAAUUAUUAAUAUAAAUAAUGUGUUAAUACUGCCCCACCUGUAUGGCGAAGGGGUCUUGGAAAAUAGCCUCCAUACUUAGUAGAAAAUGACUUUCGGGACCAAAUUUUUAUAAAAGAGGGAACUCUCAUGAGUACCAGUCUCAAGAAAACUCAUUUUUUCUCUUUCCAGUUGGUUCUGACAAGAUGCUCCCUUCAGUCUUUCUCUAUGUAUCCAAUUCUGAGUAUUCAAAUGCCAACAUUCCUGGAGACAGAUCUGUCUUAGAGAAACAAGCCAAACACAAGAACACAUAGUGCAGUAUUUGAGCAUCACAGACCUUAUCUGACAGCUUUAUUUUAGGAAUAUAAAGAGAGGGUGGAAACAAUUAGUCAUGGAGCAAAGAACUUCAUAAGAAAAUCUGGUGGGAAAUAGAGGAUACAGCAAAAAAUCUUUAUUAAUUUAAAGAGUUGAGAAAAAACCAACCUAUUGCAACAUGACAGAAGAAAGAUAUAGAUGAGAUCCCCCUGGGACUUUAAAUUCUUAUCAUAAUUCUGCCUCUGCAGUGGAUUGCCUGAAGCAGAAAUAAAAAUUUUCUAAAGUCCCAUAAUAUGGGAACUAUAACAUAGUCCCAAUUAAACAGUGAGGACCAAAUGUGUUCUGAAGUCCUAUAAUGUACCAGUUUACGUAUCUCUCUGAAUUAAGACUCAGAAAAUAGUCAAAUGGACACAGUUCAUGCAAAAAUGAGCACUCUCGGAGUUCCCAUUGCAGCUCAGUAGGUUAAGAACACGAUAUUGUGUCUGUGAGGAUUCGGGUUCAAUCCCUGGCCUUGCUCAGUGGGUUAAAGAUCUGGCAUUGACACAAGCUGCAGCUUAGGUCAUAGAUGUGUCUUGGAUCACAAACAGCUGUGGCUGCACCAGCAGUUCUGAUUCAACUCCUAGCUCCAGAACUUCCAUGUGCCAUAGGUGCAGCGAAUAACCUAAAUUUUUCUUUUCUAUUUCUUUUUUUUUUUUUUUUUUUUUUUGGGACGUGGCUUGAUGUGGGAUCACAGCUCCCAGACCAGAGAUGGAACCCAGGCUGCACAGUGAAAGUGCCAAGGCCUAACUGCUAGACCACCAGGAAACUCCCCAAAUAAAUUCUUUAUUCACACUUUUUAAAAUACUUUGAAGAGGACAGUCUCUAGUAAUACUUUAAGGGGAAAAAAAUCAUUUUCUGCAUUCAUCCAUUGACUUAAGUGAAGUCCACAAAAGCACUUUCUUCAAAAGUACAAGGGUAUAUUCCUCUCUGAACCUCCUGUCUUUCCAACAUUCGCUCCUACCUACUCUCUUCACUGUUUCAACACAUUAAUAUGACAACUUAUUGAUUGCCUUUUGCUAAUCCUUUCCUGCCUCCUUUCUGUCAGACCCUCCUCAGAUGGCUGAACUGAAGGGACCAGGACCCUUAUUCAACUCUCAGUAGGUGUGAAAUACUGAACAUGCCUUAAAAGAAUGUUCUUAUCCAUCACACAAUGGCGUAUUCAUCCUCUUGAGUAGAAAUUGUAGGAAGAACACGUGGUGCAUGCCACAGGGUCUUCCGGAUAGAAGUCCUAAAUGGUGAUGAAUUACUUUGGAGAGUGGUACCUCAAAGCAGACUAUACAUUUGAUGAAAAUGAAUGCACUAGUACUGUACGCAUUGGUGUGUGUGAUUCUUAUGCAUAUGCAUUCUGUCCCCCUCUGUAGACUUAACACCUUGAUCUCUUCUACGCAUAUCGUCCACCAAGCUCUUCCUGGGUACUCCCUCCAUGACUCUCCAAAGGCAGUAAAUUAGGAAAAUCAAGGAUUUACCACACUUGUUUUCUCUCUCAGAUAUCACUGUCCUGCAUUGCCUAAUGACUAAUGUCUUAACAAACUCAUAUUUUCUACAUGCACCCCAACAUUCAUUGCAUACACUUUACAAUAGCCAAGACAUGGAAGAAACCUAAAUGUCCAUUGACAGAGGAAUGGAUAAAGAAGACGUGGUACAUAUACACAAUGGAAUACUACUCAACCAUAAAAAAGAAUAAAGUGAUGCCAUUUGCAAAAACAUGGAUGGACUUAGAGAUUAUCAUACUAAGUGAAGUAAGUCAGAGAAAGAUAAACAUCACAUGAUGUCACUUAUAUGUGGUAUAUAAAAGUAUAUAUACAAAUUAAGUUAUCUACAAAACAGAAACAGACUCACGGACUUUGAAAACAAACUCAUGGUUACCAAAGAGGAAACAUGGGGAGGGGAAUAAAUUAGGAAUUUGGGAUUAAAACAAACACACCACUAUAUAUUAAAUAGAUAAGUAACAAGGACCAUCGCAUAGCACAGGGGACUCAACUCAAUAUUCCAUAAUAAUUUACAUAGAAGACUCUGAAAAGGAAUGAAUAUAUGUAUAACUGAAUCAAUUUUCUAUGCACUCGAAACUAAUACAACAUUGUAAAGCAACUAUAUGCCAAUAAAAAAAUCUCAUCAUUUCAUAUAUUUAAUUUGUGUUGUUCUUGUUAUUUCAGGUAAACAGGCAACUACAAUGAUUCCAUCUUAGCCAGGAGGAGUUAUAAAUUAAAGCAGAAACUCAGGCUGUAUUUGGUGAAUUAAAUUACUAAAGAACCACAGCUUCAGACUCAGAAUUCUCCUUCUGCUACUAAAACUAGAUCUCAAAAAAUAUCCAAUAUACUUCAUUAUGCUUUAUACUUUUAAAACACUGUAUUACCUCUCCCCUGUAUUUUCAUUUCCCUGGGUCUGCUGUAACAAAUUAUCAUAAACAUGAUGCCUUAAAAGAACAGAAAUUUAUUCUCUUGCAGUUCUGGAGACUAGAAAGUCAAAAUCGAGGUGUCAAUUUGUAAUUACCUUGAAAGCAAAAAUAGUCAUAUUUUACUCUAAACCACAGCACCUAGCUUUGUACUUUCCUCCUAAAAUAAGCGCAAGGGUGUUUAUGUAAAGUUUAAUUUAAUUGUAAUGGCCAAGAGGCUUUUCAAGAAGGUAACUUUAGGCACGAGUUUUUAGUGUGCGGAUUCCUAAAAAUAGUGCCAACUUUGCAACUCCAGUAUACCUAUAUGUGACACUUGGCUCAGAAACAAACAGUAUUUUUUUCCACUUGUGCAGAAGUUACAAAAAUGCCAAAGUGGAAAGAUUUCACAAUUUCAUAUACCACAGAGAAAGAAAAAAUGACCUGUAUAAAAUUAUCGUCUAAUGCUAAGGUAGCAUCAAUUAUAAAAUACACCCCACAUUUCAGAGAUAAUUAAAAUGUGAAAGACAUUUGUCCUAGAAGCAAAUAUAGACAGUGCAGGUGUGUGUUUUGUGAGUAAAUGUAAACAUACUUAUGUUCAACAGACUCUUCAUGAGGUUGCCAUCCUGCAAGUUACCAUUCAACCUGUCCAGAAAAUUUCUCCAGCUACAUACACUUUGAAAAUUGGCCCAUUCCCUAACUCUUCUGCCCCCAGCCAGCCAGCCGCAUUACAGUUCAUUUGCUUCAUGCAGAUUGGCCAAUCGGAUUUGAAAUUUAAAACAAGCACGAGAGGCUGAGAAUCUUUGUAUUAACGGAAAUUGUUUGACAUAUGGUGUUGGGAUGUCUUGUAACUUUCCUUUAGCCCACCCUUUCCGAAGACUUAGGGGUUUAAUCCUGCUUCAAUUUCGCAAAAUACCCCAGCAUCUUUCCAGUAAAUUCUUUUUUUUUUUUUUUUUUUUUUUGGUUUAAGUCAGCCGGAGUUUAUUUUUGUGGCCUGAAACCGAAAGAACCUUAACUAAUGCAAUGCCUUAAGAACAUUUUUGAAAAGCUCUACAAGAAAUCAACACUAAUUACUUCUGAGAAAUGAAUGGGAGUGUGGCUCCUGAAAGUGUAAAGGGACACUUCCACUGUCACCUUAUUAUACUGUAAAAGUGAAUGUUGUGUCAUUCUGAUUUGCUUUAGUUGGAUUUGGAAUGUUCAUUUUUACACCAGGGGCAUGUUACUUGCAAAUAUUUUUUCAGCUAGAAUUCUUUCUUUUCUUUUCCCCCUUUUUUUAUUGUUAUAUUUGAAAAAGAAUUAUAUAAGAGCUUUCUAAUUUUUCAUGUCUAAACCUUGUCCCUAUUCUAUUAGAAUCCUCUCACUUCGGAGAUAUAAAAACUGAACCCAGGAGUUCCUGUCAUGGCUUAGUGGAAACGAAUCUGACUGGCAUCCAUGAGGACGCAGGUUCAAUCCCUGGCCUUGCUCAAUGGGUUAAGGAUCCAGCACUCCCAUGAGAUAUAGUGUAGAUUGCAGAUGCCGCUCGGAUCUCACGUUGUUGGAAAGAAAGAAAGAAACUAACCCAGAAUACUUAUGACCUAGUCAACAAUUUCACAGCAAUCAGAACCAUAGUGUUAUUGUUUUAGACUUCCCCAGAGUUAGUUGUCCUAGUCAUAGGGUAAAUAAUUAUUUUAUUUUUAGGUGCAGUUGAUAUUAAUUGAUCAAACAUCACCCUUUUAAGUGGUUUGAAUUCCUUUCCUUCUACUUAAUAUUCCAAAUUUGGAGUUCCCCCUGUGGCACAGUGGGUUGAGAAUCUACCUGCAGUGGCUUGGUUCACUGCAGAGGUUUAGGUUCGAUCCCCCAUUCAGCACAUUGAGUUAAAGGAACGGGUUGCUGGGAUUCAAUCCUAGCCCGGGGGACUUCCAUAUGCCAUGGGUGCAGCCAUAAAAUAAAAAAAAUAAAAUACUCCAAAUGUACUCAGCUUGAGAUACUUUCUGGUUAAUAAUCUCUUUUGAAAUGAUCAUCAAGCUUAGAUGGGUUAGCUAUUGAUCAUUUCCCACUUUGAUGUGAAUUGUCUUUUAUCAGGUUAAAUGUAUCCAGGUAUUUGGAUAAAAUCAUUCCUACUGAAUUCGUCGGGAGUUCUGAUGGAACUAUGAUAGAUUUGGUAUAUUGGAAACUGCUAACUGCGUAAGGAUCCUCUUCUACUUCCCCUCUCCAUCUUUCCCCACGACUACUACUUUUAAAAAAAAUUAAUAUUGUCAGAGAAAAAUCUCACCCCCUGGAGAGGAAAUUACCGCAAGUCAAGACAAAUGGGCCAAAUUAGCCAUCUGUGGAAAUAACCCGUCCUGGGAGGUGACCUGUAAAUGCCUGUCAAUGGGAGGGAAAGGAUUCCAGUCCUGAGAGGGAUCAGGAAAACCAGACUGGCAUGUAAUAAUUAUAAAGCAGAAAACAGCAGCUGCAUUUUACCUUGUUUAGGGUGACGUCAUGGUGCUUUAGCAGUUGAUUUAAAAACAAGAAUCAGAGAGUAGGAAUGUGUCAGGGUUUGUCCACAAUCGCCUUGAAAAUUAGAGCACCUCCCAGAAUCACUGAUUCCACGGGAGUACUUUAGACGUGUGGCAGGUGUUUCCUAGAGCACUAAACUGUGGGGACACUGGAGUCCAAAGAAAGGAAGAAAGAAGAAGGAAAAUGUGGAGUGAGGGGAAAGGGGAGAAAAAGAAGGGAUCAGAGGCAAAGGAAAGUAGCAGAAGGAAGGGGGAAGCCCCCUUUUCCAAAAAUCAAUCAUCAAAUCCCGUUUGGGCCCUUCAAAGUGUUAGAAUAUUUGAGGAUUGGAGACUUGGAGUUCUGACCCUCUCCUGACCACCACUUUCCAAGGUCUAUUGUCACAGCAUUUUAGCUGAUUUUCCGAUACAACUUUACACUGUUUCAGAGUAAGAUCUGAAAUACUAAAGUUCUUCAGUCUGUCUUGUUUAAAAUUCAAUCCUGGUCCUCUGCCCCCUUUAGCAUUAUCUGGUUUAUCAAUUCCUUCUGCCUUUUCUGCCCCAGGGGCUUCACCUCCCAGGCACUCCACUCCCCAGUCCUAAGUUUUUAGUCAAUACUUGCAGUUCCCAUAAAUAUGCCUUGCUUGAUCACACCCAAGAGCCAUUUCUAUUCCCUCUGGGUAGAAUGGAAAGCCUGCCUUUCAACUCUCAACCAUCAGGCCUCUUUUUCCUGCCAGUGAGCUUUUCAACCAGCAAGGCACUGUUCAAACAACAUUUCUUUGGCAGAACCAUGACUGCCCUUCCUUAAGAGAAUAACAAUUCACCAAGACUCUAAUGGCAUUGAUCAAAUGAAAUUUAAUUGAGUCCAUCCUUGUCUAAGUAUUGACCUCCUGAAAAAACAGACACCUUCUCCUGUUCACCUGUGUAUAACAGUCUUGAAUACAUGCUCAUAUUAGACCUUCAAAAAUACUUGAACUAAUGAGUGAAGAAAUAAAAACUCUUGUCAGGAAAACUUAUCCAAGACUUGGAGCUAUUUUUUUUUUUUUUUUUUUUUUUUAAGAUUACAUCUUGGGGGGAAUUCACGUCGUGGCUCAGUGGAAAUAAAUCUGACUUGUAUCCAUGAGGACACAGGUUGGAUCCCUGGCCUUGUUCAGUGGGUUAAGGAUCCGGCAUUGCCAUGACCUGUGGUGUAGUUCACAGACAUGGCUCGGAUCCCAUGUUGCUGUGGCUGUGGUGCAGACCUGCAGCUACAGCUACAUUCGACCCCUAGCCUGGGAAAUUCCAUUGCCAUGUGCCGCAGGUGCAGCCCUUAAAAAAAAGAUUACAUCUUGGCUACUUAAAAAAUUCUGUAAGGGACAAAAAAAUAAAAAUAAAAAAUAAAAAAGGAGUUCCCGUCAUGGCGCAGUGGUUAACAAAUCCGACUAGGAACCAUGAGGUUGCAGGUUCGAUCCCUGGCCUUGCUCAGUGGGUUAACGAUCCGGCGUUGCCAUGAGCUGUGGUGUAGGUUGCAGACGCGGCUCGGAUCCCGCGUUGCUGUGGCUCUGGUGUAGGCUGGCAGCUACAGCUCCCAUUCGACCCCUAGCCUGGGAACCUCCAUAUGCCAUGGGAGCGGCCCAA